This 66-nucleotide transfer RNA is filed under the name Matrona basilaris. Its description in RNAcentral is "tRNA-Ala". It matches the Rfam family "tRNA". Rfam says of the family: Transfer RNA (tRNA) molecules are approximately 80 nucleotides in length. Their secondary structure includes four short double-helical elements and three loops (D, anti-codon, and T loops). The record is from RNAcentral. Lineage: Eukaryota; Metazoa; Arthropoda; Insecta; Odonata; Calopterygidae.
GGGACUAUAGUUAAAAAUAACAUUUAAUUUGCAAUUAAAAAGUAUUGAUUCAUUCAAUUUGUCUUA